This 393-nucleotide ribosomal RNA is filed under the name uncultured bacterium. Its description in RNAcentral is "bacterial SSU rRNA". It matches the Rfam family "Bacterial small subunit ribosomal RNA", at positions 30 to 429 of the family's 1533-position model. The record is from RNAcentral.
AUUGAACGCUGGCGGCAUGCCUUACACGUGCAAGUCGAACGGCAGCACGGGGCAACCUGGUGGCGAGUGGCGAACGGGUGAGUAAUGCAUCGGAACGUGCCAUUGAGAGGGGGAUAACGUAGCGAAAGUUGCGCUAAUACCGCAUAUUCUGUGAGCAGGAAAGCAGGGGACCGCAAGGCCUUGCGCUCUUUGAGCGGCCGAUGUCAGAUUAGCUAGUUGGUGAGGUAACGGCUUACCAAGGCGACGAUCUGUAGCGGGUCUGAGAGGAUGAUCCGCCACACUGGAACUGAGACACGGUCCAGACUCCUACGGGAGGCAGCAGUGGGAAUUUUGGACAAUGGGCGCAAGCCCUGAUCCAGCCAUGCCGCGUGAGUGAAGAAGGCCUGGUGUAAG